This is an RNA transcript of Fragaria vesca subsp. vesca, 629 nucleotides long. RefSeq lists it as uncharacterized. The transcript has 2 exons. The record is from RefSeq and is a predicted model, not a curated record. Lineage: Eukaryota; Viridiplantae; Streptophyta; Magnoliopsida; Rosales; Rosaceae.
UUCAUUGGGAACCUCGAGGGAAUUACUUAUUUUCUGGAUAACAUUUCAAUUUUUUACAGAUAUUUUUUUAAAUAUGUCGGUGAUAUAUCAAAAAUAUCAUAAAUGUUGGAGAUAUUCCCUAAAUAUCGGUGAUAUUUGACGAUAUUUCCUAAAUAUCGGAGAAAUAUCGUAGAUACGGUGGAAGAUAAGAUAUUGACCCCUAUAAAUAUGUCGGUCAUUCGAAAAAGAGAGACAUCGAAGGAUAUAUCAGAUAUAUCGCAGAGAUUUUAAUCCUUGCCUAAACCCUAAAUCCCAAAUCAAAAUUCUCUCUCAGAUCGCAUCUCUCUUAUUCUCUCGUCCUCUCUCAGUCCGCAUCUCUAUAAUUCUCUCAUCCUCUUAUUCCUUUGAUUCAUUCCGAGCUAACGAGCUCAUCGCAUCUCUCUGAUUCUCUCUACUCAUCUCUCUCUGGGCCUCUGAUUCGAAGCAGAUUGGUCGCCAAAGGGUUAGGAUGAGCGGCAACGCAAUUGGUAGGGGUACAAUAGGAAAGGGGUGCAAGCUAGACAAGAAAAUGGUUUCAAUUAAGGACUGGAGGCAACAACAACCCCAAUAGAGCUUACUGGAAGCUCUGGACAAAAUGUGUAGCAACAGGC